CAGAAAUUGAACACCAUACUCCACUUUCAAAUUAUUUUUCAAAAAUAAAAUAAAUAUACUAUUCUACCAAAUCUAAACAUCGAGAUAUUUUAAAUUUUUUUUAAAAAAUAAUUUUUUUCUUAACAAUCACAAUGAAAAAAAAACUUAAAUGUCUCCAAGUUGUCACCCCUAGAGAUAUCAACGGGUUGGAUUAAGGGCGGAUUUUAAAAAUCCGAAUCCAAACCCAACUACAAACCUAAAAUCCGAACCUUAAUCAAAAUCCGACAGAUUUUAAAAAUCUAUAUCCAAACUCGAACUCAAGCAAAAAUUCGAAAUCCGAACCCCAAUCCGAAAACUAACCCAAAAUUAUUAUUUCUCUUUACCAUAUUUCAAAAUAUAUUAUAUUAAAUCUAAAUUUUUAAAAUAUAAAUUCAAAUAUAGCAUCAAAUAUUUAUAUACGUAUAUUAUAUAGUGCAAAUUUAAUUUGGAUUCAGGCCAAAUAUAGAUAAAAUUUAUACCCGAAUCCAAAUUUGUCAUAUUUUUAUUUUUAUUUGUUUUAUAUCUCUUUGAAAUUAAGUAAAUCCACUUUGUU
RNAcentral lists this long non-coding RNA (571 nucleotides) under Ananas comosus (pineapple). RNAcentral's name for it is "long non-coding RNA (ACOM_LNC032349)". Lineage: Eukaryota; Viridiplantae; Streptophyta; Magnoliopsida; Poales; Bromeliaceae. The record is from RNAcentral.